GAACGCACAUUGCGCCUGCUGGUAUUCCGGUAGGCAUGCCUGUUUGAGCGUCAGCAAAAACCUCUCAGUAGUACUUUAUUGUAAUGCUGGUUAUGGGUGCAGAGGAAUGGUUGCAUUCGUGCAACCGCUCUCACUUUAAACUUGCUGCACGACCGCAAGCUAAUGCUAGGUUAAUGGAGUGGUAUUUAUUUAAAUUCCAGCAACUGUUCAAUAGCUUAUGGCGUUAAAAUUGAUGUCGUCUAACCGCGACUGAAGUUUGACCUCAAAUCAGACAAGGAUACCCGCUGAACUUAAG
This 295-nucleotide unclassified non-coding RNA is filed under the name uncultured organism. Its description in RNAcentral is "sequence contains 5.8S rRNA gene". The stretch from base 1 to 53 matches the Rfam family "5.8S ribosomal RNA", at positions 102 to 154 of the family's 154-position model. The record is from RNAcentral.